This is a long non-coding RNA of Equus caballus (horse), 661 nucleotides long. RefSeq lists it as uncharacterized. The record is from RefSeq and is a predicted model, not a curated record. Lineage: Eukaryota; Metazoa; Chordata; Mammalia; Perissodactyla; Equidae.
CCUGCUGCAGCGCCCACGGAGAGGAGUCCGGAUGCCGGGAAGGCCUAGGUUAGCGGGGCCCCGGAGCCUAAGACGCCGGACGCACCGUCGGGCCACAAAGCAAGGUGCACAGGGAACGGAUGGCUAGAUGGCUAGGUGUGGCGCCGCUCAUCUCGGUCAACAGCCUGGACAAUGCACAGCACAGCCACUGGUGCUCUUGGAUGUCUGCGGCUCCCUAUGGAAGCAGAAACGCUGCAGGAUGCCCGGCGGCCUCCCAUUCGGGUCUGGGCAGCGCUGUGGUGUGGGAUGCUGCACUGCCCAGGCCUCGUGCAUCUGGAUUUCCUUCUGCCUUUUCCUUCAGCCUCAGAGGCAGCAGGAUAUGGAGAGUGACUAAACCACGUCCACUCCACUUUUCGGUGACUCAGGCUUUUUUUUUAAUUGAGGUAUAAUUAACAUAUAACAUAUUAGUUUCAUAUGUGCAACAUAAUCUUUCGAUAUUUGUCUAUAUUGCAAAAUGAUGAGCACAGGAAGUCUAGUUACAUUCAUCACCACACAUGGUUACAAAUUUUUUUCUCUUGUGAUGAGAACUUUUAAGAUCUACUCUCUUAGCAACUUUCAAAUAUACAAUACAGUAUUGUUAACUAUAGUCACCUUGCUGUGCAUUAAAUCCCCAGGACUUAUA